AACGAACGCUGGCGGCAUGCCUAACACAUGCAAGUCGAACGAGACCUUCGGGUCUAGUGGCGCACGGGUGCGUAACGCGUGGGAACCUGCCCUUAGGUUCGGAAUAACUCCCCGAAAGGGGGGCUAAUACCGGAUAAUGUCUUCGGACCAAAGAUUUAUCGCCUUUGGAUGGGCCCGCGUUGGAUUAGCUAGUUGGUAGGGUAAAAGCCUACCAAGGCGACGAUCCAUAGCUGGUCUGAGAGGAUGAUCCGCCACACUUGGACUGAGACACGGCCCAGACUCCUACGGGAGGCAGCAGUGGGGAAUAUUGGACAAUGGGCGAAGGCCUGAUCCAGCAAUGCCGCGUGAGUGAUGAAGGCCUUAGGGUUGUAAAGCUCUUUUACCCGGGAUGAUAAUGACAGUACCGGGAGAAUAAGCUCCGGCUAACUCCGUG
This 433-nucleotide ribosomal RNA is filed under the name uncultured bacterium. Its description in RNAcentral is "partial 16S ribosomal RNA". It matches the Rfam family "Bacterial small subunit ribosomal RNA", at positions 29 to 507 of the family's 1533-position model. The record is from RNAcentral.